RNAcentral lists this ribosomal RNA (272 nucleotides) under uncultured prokaryote. Its description in RNAcentral is "partial 16S ribosomal RNA". It matches the Rfam family "Bacterial small subunit ribosomal RNA", at positions 524 to 796 of the family's 1533-position model. The record is from RNAcentral.
UACGGAGGGUGCAAGCGUUAUCCGGAUUCACUGGGUUUAAAGGGUGCGUAGGUGGGUUGGUAAGUCAGUGGUGAAAUCCCCGAGCUUAACUUGGGAACUGCCAUUGAUACUAUCAGUCUUGAAUACCGUGGAGGUUAGCGGAAUAUGUCAUGUAGCGGUGAAAUGCUUAGAUAUGACAUAGAACACCAAUUGCGAAGGCAGCUGGCUACACGAAUAUUGACACUGAGGCACGAAAGCGUGGGGAUCAAACAGGAUUAGAAACCCAGUAGUCC